AAACCAUGAUGAGGGCACUCUAAGAGAAGAUCUUUGAAAUGUUCCAUACACGAGAGAAUGAUUCGUUGGGUCUUUGGCGAAACUAGAGAAUGUCGUUCCUAAGCUU
This 106-nucleotide small nucleolar RNA is filed under the name Cephalotus follicularis. RNAcentral describes it as "Plant small nucleolar RNA R71". It matches the Rfam family "Plant small nucleolar RNA R71". Rfam says of the family: R71 is a member of the C/D box family of snoRNAs containing the C (UGAUGA) and D (CUGA) box motifs. Multiple nearly identical copies of this snoRNA have been identified in Arabidopsis, and it is thought to function as a 2'-O-ribose methylation guide for 18S ribosomal RNA. The record is from Rfam by way of RNAcentral. Lineage: Eukaryota; Viridiplantae; Streptophyta; Magnoliopsida; Oxalidales; Cephalotaceae.